UGAGCGAGGGCACUCGUUUAAAAAACAGGCUUCGAAUCACUGAGGGAAGUUGAUCACUUGUCCAGUUUUGCAUGAUGGCCGGUGCUGCCCAGAACAGGCACUAAGGAUCCCUCUGUGGGCUUCCUGGGUGUCGGCGGAGUUGUUCCCACGUUUGCAAAGGCAAACUUGCAAGAUGACGU
Ailuropoda melanoleuca (giant panda) is the source of this 179-nucleotide long non-coding RNA. RefSeq lists it as uncharacterized. NCBI's taxonomy places the organism in Eukaryota, Metazoa, Chordata, Mammalia, Carnivora, Ursidae. The record is from RefSeq and is a predicted model, not a curated record. The transcript has 3 exons.